RNAcentral lists this ribosomal RNA (486 nucleotides) under uncultured bacterium. RNAcentral describes it as "partial 16S ribosomal RNA". It matches the Rfam family "Bacterial small subunit ribosomal RNA", at positions 28 to 507 of the family's 1533-position model. The record is from RNAcentral.
GAUGAACGCUGGCGGCGUGCCUAAUACAUGCAAGUCGAACGCUGGAACUCUAGCUUGCUAGAUUGAAGGAGUGGCGAACGGGUGAGUAAUACAUAAGCAACCUACCCACGAAGACUGGGAUAAUCUCUGGAAACGGGGACUAAUACCGGAUAGGUAAUCGGAAGGCAUCUUCUGAUUAUUAAAGGUUAAAAACACUGGUGGAUGGGCUUAUGGCGCAUUAGUUAGUUGGUGAGGUAACGGCCCACCAAGACGAUGAUGCGUAGCCGGCCUGAGAGGGUGAACGGCCACAUUGGGACUGAGACACGGCCCAGACUCCUACGGGAGGCAGCAGUAGGGAAUUUUCGGCAAUGGGAGAAACCCUGACCGAGCAACGCCGCGUGAGUGAUGACGGCCUUCGGGUUGUAAAGCUCUGUUGUAAGGGAAGAACGGUAGAUAGAGAAUAUCUAAAUGACGGUACCUUACCAGAAAGCCACGGCUAACUACGUG